CCUACGGGGGGCAGCAGUGAGGAAUAUUGGUCAAUGGACGAGAGUCUGAACCAGCCAAGUAGCGUGAAGGAUGACUGCCCUAUGGGUUGUAAACUUCUUUUAUAUGGGAAUAAAAUGUUCCACGUGUGGGAUUUUGUAUGUACUAUAUGAAUAAGGAUCGGCUAACUCCGUGCCAGCAGCCGCGGUAAUACGGAGGAUCCGAGCGUUAUCCGGAUUUAUUGGGUUUAAAGGGAGCGUAGGUGGAUUGUUAAGUCAGUUGUGAAAGUUUGCGGCUCAACCGUAAAAUUGCAGUUGAAACUGGCAGUCUUGAGUACAGUAGAGGUGGGCGGAAUUCGUGGUGUAGCGGUGAAAUGCUUAGAUAUCACGAAGAACUCCGAUUGCGAAGGCAGUUCACUGGACUGCAACUGACACUGAGGCUCGAAAGUGUGGGUAUCAAACAGGAUUAGAUACCCGUGUAGUC
RNAcentral lists this ribosomal RNA (460 nucleotides) under uncultured bacterium. Its description in RNAcentral is "partial 16S ribosomal RNA". It matches the Rfam family "Bacterial small subunit ribosomal RNA", at positions 338 to 795 of the family's 1533-position model. The record is from RNAcentral.